CAGUGGGGAAUAUUGGACAAUGGGGGCAACCCUGAUCCAGCAAUGCCGCGUGAUUGAAGAAGGCCUGCGGGUUGUAAAGCACUUUCACUAGGGAGAAAAGCUGAAGGUAAUAGCCUUUAGUCUGACGUAC
This 130-nucleotide ribosomal RNA is filed under the name uncultured bacterium. RNAcentral describes it as "partial 16S ribosomal RNA". It matches the Rfam family "Bacterial small subunit ribosomal RNA", at positions 352 to 478 of the family's 1533-position model. The record is from RNAcentral.